RNAcentral lists this ribosomal RNA (253 nucleotides) under uncultured bacterium. Its description in RNAcentral is "partial 16S ribosomal RNA". It matches the Rfam family "Bacterial small subunit ribosomal RNA", at positions 524 to 776 of the family's 1533-position model. The record is from RNAcentral.
UACGAAUGGAGCAAGCGUUGUUCGGAAUCACUGGGCAUUAAGGGCGCGUAGGCGGCCUUGUAAGUCACGGGUGAGAGCCCACUGCUCAACGGUGGAAGUGCCUGUGAUACUGCGAGGCUCGAGUGCGGGAGAGGAGAACGGAAUUCCAGGUGGAGCGGUGAAAUGCGUAGAUAUCUGGAAGAACACCGGUGGCGAAAGCGGCUCUCUGGUCCGCUACUGACGCUGAGGCGCGAAAGCUAGGGGAGCAAACAGG